CUGGCGGCACGCCUUAUACAUGCAAGUCGAACGAAGUAGCAAUACUUAGUGGCAGACGGGUGAGUAACAUGUGGGUAUCUUCCCUUUGGUGAGGAAUAACACGAGGAAACUUGUGCUAAUACCUCAUAAGUCUUUACGGAGAAAGCUUUAUGCGCCAAUGGAUGAGCCCGCACUUGAUUAGUUUGUUGGUGGGGUAAUGGCCUACCAAGACUUUGAUCAAUAGCUGAUUUGAGAGGAUGAUCAGCCACAUUGGGACUGAGACACGGCCCAAACUCCUACGGGAGGCAGCAGUAAGGAAUCUUGCACAAUGGAGGAAACUCUGAUGCAGCGAUGCCGCGUGAGUGAAGAAGGCCUUUGGGUUGUAAAGCUCUUUCGUCGGGGAAGAAAAUGACUGUACCCGAAUAAGAAGGU
RNAcentral lists this ribosomal RNA (411 nucleotides) under uncultured bacterium. RNAcentral's name for it is "bacterial SSU rRNA". It matches the Rfam family "Bacterial small subunit ribosomal RNA", at positions 36 to 492 of the family's 1533-position model. The record is from RNAcentral.